UAUAAUUUAUUCUGUUGUGCAUAUUAAUAACAGAUUUAUUAUCACAAAUUUAACGUUAUAGUAAUUUGAAGUAUGUUCAUUCUCAUUGCAGGUGAACCGAUUGGCCUAGCUACCAAAAUUAUCAAAGCUGUGUUUGCGAAAGUGGAUCUACAAGUCUCUAACCUCAGUUUCAGCAUUGUCACUGCAAUGCGUUUAUUUAUUUAUUUUUGCUUAAAGGCAACAUCUGUCCAUAUUAUACCUAUUUUCUUCAUACAGAUAGGGGAGAUCGUGGUGCCACGACAAAUUCAGUAGUGUUUAAGCUUAGAAAAUUGAAGUCAAAGCAAGCCUCCAUUAUCUUAAAAUAUAAAGGAUGAAACCAUUAUAAGAACUGUAAAUUUAAUUCCUCACAAAAACAUUGUGCUGUAUUCUAGGUAUUAAUAUACAAUACUCUCAAGUACUUAUCCCACUAUCUUCCAUAUAACACCGUUGUCAUUGUAUUUUUAUUUAUACUUGAUACUCGGUAAUUAACACUACUACUGUUUAAGACUCCACAAGUUUUGUUAAAUGACCAUUCUUUUCAAUAUCUUUAGCAGGUUUCAAGUUAUCUCUGUUAAGAAACUUAUUCUGUAAUUCUUCAUGAUAUAAGAGCAACUACUUCUGAUUUUCAUGAAAACUCUCCACCAACCAAUGCACAAAGUCCAACAACAACCCUUUAAAGGUUCGCAAGAUUCUAUAAUGAGAACCCCUCCUAUCCUACAGAACGAUGAAUGGCCAGUUGUAUGAAUUCCGUUGAAUCCUUCACAAAUGUAGCCAAUACAAAAUUCAGCACCUCCACUACCUGCAUCUUCAAUGACGUCUGGAGCUUCCACCUAUGUUUCCAGUGAAAAUUUCAACACACACAACUGCCUCCAAUGACGUUGCCACCAGUAAAAAAUUCAAUACCUCUUCAAACUUUCCUAGAACUCAUCACGAACCUUUGUAUUGCCGAUACAAAAUUUACCAGUGCCUCCACCAAUGUUUAUGAUACAAAAUUCACCACUGUCACUGACGUCGCCAGCAUGCAUUCAAGCACCACCACCAAUGCCCCAUUUAGUGUUUUCACCCUCCCAACCAGCAGCACCUAUCAUACAUUAACACUGUUGUUCCAAACCCAAAUACGAUCUUACAGUAAGGAAACCAAAAGGAAGAUGCAUCCUUCUAUAUUCUCCUAGUCGGUGCAGCUUCCUGAGUAGCUAAAUUGGAUCAAGGAUGAGUAACCUGAGGGGGCAUGUGAAUGUGUCAAAAUAAGGAAAAGUCCGAGAGUUCACCUCCAUAAAUGACUCCAGGCGCAUAAAACUGAUUUUGCAAUGCGCUUGCUCCAAUUCAGGAAUAAAUCUACGGAUGAAGUGAAGCACAACGCCUCCUUGAUAUGCACGUAUGUCGUUUCAUUGUUGUGGUGAUGAAUGCUAUAAACGCCUCAUUCAUUCAAUGCAUUUUCAGACGAUAACAGGGGAGAUGGAAUCCAUUUGUUUCUCAUACCAUUGGAAGAAAUCUAUGUAGCCUUACUCUAUGGGGAUUAGAGAGAUCCGAGCCUAGGAAAUUUUUUCUGCUGUGGAUCAAGGCCAAGCCAGAGCUCAGGCGGCAUUCAUAUCAUGAAUUAAGGGAUGGGAUUCCAACGUUGAAUGUGUUUAAUACAAAGAAACAACUGACAACUGACCCCCUAGCUUCGCAGUUAACAGAUCAACCACCAUGUUCUUAGUCCCGUCUGGGUCUGAUAUCCCGGUCGAUACAUACGUAAAGAAAUAUGUAUACAAUUGUCUUACCCUAUGACUAUAAACAAGUGACAGGGACA
Long non-coding RNA from Papaver somniferum (opium poppy), 1810 nucleotides. RefSeq lists it as uncharacterized. The record is from RefSeq and is a predicted model, not a curated record. NCBI's taxonomy places the organism in Eukaryota, Viridiplantae, Streptophyta, Magnoliopsida, Ranunculales, Papaveraceae. The transcript has 7 exons.